AGUAGGGAAUAUUGGUCAAUGGAGGCAACUCUGAACCAGCCAUGCCGCGUGAACGAUGAAGGCCUUCGGGUUGUAAAGUUCUUUUGUAUGGGAAGAAACUCAUCCUUGCGAGGAUGCUUGACGGUACCAUAAGAAUAAGCACCGGCUAACUCCGUGCCAGCAGCCGCGGUAAUACGGAGGGUGCAAGCGUUGUCCGGAAUUAUUGGGUUUAAAGGGUGCGCAGGCGGUUUCGUCAGUCAGAGGUUAAAGACCGGAGCUUAACUCCGAGUUUGCCUUUGAUACUGCGAGACUUGAAAUACAUAUGGGUAGGCGGAAUUCCUCAUGUAGCGGUGAAAUGCACAGAUAUGAGGAGGAAGACCGAAGGCGAAGGCAGCUUACUGGGUGUUAUUUGACGCUGAGGCACGAAAGCGUGGGGAGCGAA
RNAcentral lists this ribosomal RNA (421 nucleotides) under uncultured Flammeovirga sp. RNAcentral describes it as "bacterial SSU rRNA". It matches the Rfam family "Bacterial small subunit ribosomal RNA", at positions 353 to 772 of the family's 1533-position model. The record is from RNAcentral. Lineage: Bacteria; Pseudomonadati; Bacteroidota; Cytophagia; Cytophagales; Flammeovirgaceae.